RNAcentral lists this unclassified non-coding RNA (1155 nucleotides) under Hevea brasiliensis (rubber tree). The record is from RNAcentral. Lineage: Eukaryota; Viridiplantae; Streptophyta; Magnoliopsida; Malpighiales; Euphorbiaceae.
GGGUUGGCUGCACUUGGACAGCAACUUCAUGCUAUAGGAUUUACAGACACCCCAAAGGUAGACCUUGAUGCACCACUGGCUGAUGAAUUGAUGAGAUUUUAUGAAAGGAUGGGUGACACUCUAGCCCAUCAAUAUGGUGGGUCAGCUGCACAUAACAAGAUAUUCUCUCAGAGAAGGGGUCAGUGGAAAGCAGCAACCCAGUCCCAGGAGUUCUUCAGAACUCUUCAACGCUACUACAACAAUGCAUACAUGGAUGCAGAGAAACAAGAUGCAAUUAAUGUAUUCUUGGGGCACUUCCAGCCACAACUGGGUAAACCUGCACUCUGGGAAUUAAAUUCAGACCAGCAUUACAGUGUAGGAAGGAAUGGGCAAACAUAUGUGGAUCAAGAUAGAAGGUCAUUUUUCAAAAGAUCCUUGUCAGAUGGAAAUAUUCUUCAUGAAAGCCAUUCACCUAUGUCAGCCACGAAUGUCAAGCAGGAGAAAUUUGCUAAUUCGGUUUUGCCAGAUCAAUGGGAAGGGGAAAAAAAUGUCCUUUCUGAGUCAUCCCCUGCGAUAUCAACUUGUGAAAUUGACAUAUCAUAUUCAAGGUAUACUCCUUCAAUGCCUCGAAGACAACUCUUAGGGGAUGUGGAAAGAGAGCAGUACCUUGGAAGUGAACAUAUUUACUUCUCUGAAGACACAUUUAUUUGCUCAAAUUUUGUUGAUUUAGGCUGGUUGUCUUCCUCGGGAAAUUCAUGCGAAGAAGAGCCAUUUGAGAGGUCAUCAGUGCUUACAAUCUCACCAAUUGCGGGGAUGUCAUCAGAAAAUGUUGUCAAUGGAAUAAUGAGUGAAAUGACCCCAUCCACUAGUGAAUAUGGAUCCAGCAUGAAGGGAAGGCAGCAGACGGGAACGGUGCUAUCCUAUGGUAGUUCUCAGAAUUCCAAUGUCCUCGAGGAAUUCUCAGAUAGCUUUGUGCACUGGGUAAACAAUGGAGAGACACUCUGCCAUUGAAGUUUAGCUCGCUUUGGCCCUGAAUCAAUAUUUAUUCCUUUCCCCAAGUGACCCGACCUGCUCUAAAGAUGCUGAAUCUAUUGAUGUAGAGAGAGGUGACAAGGACAGUGAGACCAAGGGGAGAUGGCCGGACCAGAGGGAGAAAAGAGAGGCAGGUGUUUUGGC